AGCGAACGCUGGCGGCAGGCCUAACACAUGCAAGUCGAACGGAUCCUUCGGGAUUAGUGGCGGACGGGUGAGUAACACGUGGGAACGUGCCCUUUGGUUCGGAACAACUCAGGGAAACUUGAGCUAAUACCGGAUGUGCCCUUCGGGGGAAAGAUUUAUCGCCAUUGGAGCGGCCGGCGUCUGUUUAGCUAGUUGGUGAGGUAAAGGCUAACCAAGGCGACGAUCAGUAGCUGGUCUGAGAGGAUGAUCAGCCACAUUGGGACUGAGACACGGCCCAAACUCCUACGGGAGGCAGCAGUGGGGAAUCUUGCGCAAUGGGCGAAAGCCUGACGCAGCCAUGCCGCGUGAAUGAUGAAGGUCUUAGGAUUGUAAAAUUCUUUCACCGGGGACGAUAAUGACGGUACCCGGAGAAGAAGCCCCGGCUAACUUCGUGCCAGCAGCCGCCGUAA
RNAcentral lists this ribosomal RNA (449 nucleotides) under uncultured bacterium. RNAcentral's name for it is "partial 16S ribosomal RNA". It matches the Rfam family "Bacterial small subunit ribosomal RNA", at positions 29 to 523 of the family's 1533-position model. The record is from RNAcentral.